GUGAAUCAUCGAAUUUUUGAACGCAAAUUGCACUCUCUGGUAUUCCGGGGAGUAUGCCUGUUUGAGGGUCGGUAGAAUAAAAAAUCGAGGCUUCUCUUUUUAUAUAAGGGUUAUGGAGUCGGAAAAGAGCAGUAUUACAAUUGUUUAUACAGGUGAAGGUGGGUUUGAAUUGAUGCAGCAGGUACGAAUUCAAC
This 194-nucleotide unclassified non-coding RNA is filed under the name Glomeraceae sp. RNAcentral's name for it is "partial contains 5.8S ribosomal RNA and internal transcribed spacer 2". The stretch from base 1 to 71 matches the Rfam family "5.8S ribosomal RNA", at positions 84 to 154 of the family's 154-position model. The record is from RNAcentral. Lineage: Eukaryota; Fungi; Glomeromycota; Glomeromycetes; Glomerales; Glomeraceae.